GACGAACGCUGGCGGCGUGCUUAACACAUGCAAGUCGAACGGAAAGGCCCUGCUUUUGUGGGGUGCUCGAGUGGCGAACGGGUGAGUAACACGUGAGUAACCUGCCCUUGACUUUGGGAUAACUUCAGGAAACUGGGGCUAAUACCGGAUAGGAGCUCCUGCUGCAUGGUGGGGGUUGGAAAGUUUCGGCGGUUGGGGAUGGACUCGCGGCUUAUCAGCUUGUUGGUGGGGUAGUGGCUUACCAAGGCUUUGACGGGUAGCCGGCCUGAGAGGGUGACCGGCCACAUGGGUACUGAGAUACGGCCCAGACUCCUACGGGGGGCAGCAGUGGGGAAUAUUGCACAAUGGGCGGAAGCCUGAUGCAGCAACGCCGCGUGCGUGAUGACGGCCUUCGGGUUGUAAACCGCUUUCGCCUGUGACGAAGCGUGAGUGACGGUAAUGGGUAAAGAAGCACCGGCUAACUACGUG
This 468-nucleotide ribosomal RNA is filed under the name uncultured bacterium. RNAcentral describes it as "partial 16S ribosomal RNA". It matches the Rfam family "Bacterial small subunit ribosomal RNA", at positions 28 to 507 of the family's 1533-position model. The record is from RNAcentral.